Molecule: non-coding RNA, 336 nt
Organism: Hippopotamus amphibius kiboko
Lineage: Eukaryota; Metazoa; Chordata; Mammalia; Artiodactyla; Hippopotamidae
Source: the annotation of a RefSeq genome assembly
AUGAGGCAGAUGGCAAGAGUGACCGUGCUCUUGAUCUUGGGUACUUUGAGCCUUGCCAAGACCAUCCAGCCCACUUGCAUUGACUCAUAUGAAGGACAAGAAGUGAACAUAUCCUGUCACCACACCAACAUUACUACAGAUGAGUAUAUCUUCUGGUACCGACAGUUCCCCAACCAGGGACCACAAUUUGUCAUUCAAGGAUAUAAGACAAACAUGGUAAAUGAAGUGGCAUCUCUGUUUAUCUCUGCUGAGAGGAAGUCCAGCACCCUGAGCCUGCCCUGGGCUACCCUGAGAGAUACUGCUGUGUAUUACUGCAUCGUGUGUGGCACACAGUGA